UACGUAGGGUGCAAGCGUUAAUCGGAAUUACUGGGCGUAAAGCGUGCGCAGGCGGCUUUGCAAGACAGAUGUGAAAUCCCCGGGCUUAACCUGGGAACUGCAUUUGUGACUGCAUGGCUGGAGUGCGGCAGAGGGGGAAGGAAUUCCGCGUGUAGCAGUGAAAUGCGUAGAUAUGCGGAGGAACACCGAUGGCGAAGGCAAUCCCCUGGGCCUGCACUGACGCUCAUGCACGAAAGCGUGGGGAGCAAACAGG
This 253-nucleotide ribosomal RNA is filed under the name uncultured bacterium. RNAcentral describes it as "partial 16S ribosomal RNA". It matches the Rfam family "Bacterial small subunit ribosomal RNA", at positions 524 to 776 of the family's 1533-position model. The record is from RNAcentral.